AGUGAACGCUGGCGGUAGGCCUAACACAUGCAAGUCGAACGGCAGCACAGUAAGAGCUUGCUCUUACGGGUGGCGAGUGGCGGACGGGUGAGGAAUACAUCGGAAUCUACUUUUUCGUGGGGGAUAACGUAGGGAAACUUACGCUAAUACCGCAUACGACCUACGGAUGAAAGCAGGGGAUCUUCGGACCUUGCGCGAUUGAAUGAGCCGAUGUCGGAUUAGCUAGUUGGCGGGGUAAAGGCCCACCAAGGCGACGAUCCGUAGCUGGUCUGAGAGGAUGAUCGGCCACACUGGAACUGAGACACGGUCCAGACUCCUACGGGAGGCAGCAGUGGGGAAUAUUGGACAAUGGGCGCAAGCCUGAUCCAGCCAUACCGCGUGGGUGAAGAAGGCCUUCGGGUUGUAAAGCCCUUUUGUUGGGAAAGAAAAGCAGCAGGUUAAUACCCCGCUGUUCUGACGGUACCCAAAGAAUAAGCACCGGCUAACUUCGUG
Molecule: ribosomal RNA, 492 nt
Filed under: uncultured bacterium
Lineage: Bacteria
Description: partial 16S ribosomal RNA
Rfam family: Bacterial small subunit ribosomal RNA
Source: RNAcentral